Non-coding RNA from Pimephales promelas (fathead minnow), 1855 nucleotides. Lineage: Eukaryota; Metazoa; Chordata; Actinopteri; Cypriniformes; Leuciscidae. The record is from RefSeq and is a predicted model, not a curated record.
UAUAGGCUAAACGCCUGAUUUGAGAUUUUGAUUUAGAAACAAAGAUGUCAUUAGCUGCCAAAGAAUAUCGUUUCGCUCGCCUCACACAACCACUUAUGUAAAAGAAGGCGUAGAUGACUCUCCUUCUUCAACGAGCUGAUUGGCCCGGGGAGCUGUCAAUCAACACUCGAUCCCUCGCCACUCGCCAGCACUAUCAAACUCAGUUGCGGUAUGAAGUUUCUAAAAUGACACUUUGGGAUAUUUUUGUCGGCACAAUGUUGCUGUUUUUGUCUAGAAAGUUGCAGUGAUGAGGCGUGGAGAUCCUCUCCCUGGAGCCUUCCAGGCUCCAGUGGAUGUACACGCCAGUGUGGAUGGCCAGGUGUACAUGUUCAGACACAGACAAGAAGAACCGGAAGCGUCAUCUGAGGAUGAGGAACUCAAUGUCAUGGAGCUCCGGCCACGGAGCCGAGAUUCAUCCUCACAGGAGAGAGAAAGAGUGGGCGAAAUGCUUUUGCUAGAACGGGACAUUUCCCAUGAGGACAAUCUCAGCAAACUGGCCCUUCAGUAUGGAUGCAAGGUGGCUGACAUAAAAAGAGUGAACAACCUUUUUCAAGAGCAGGACAUGUAUGCACUGAAGUCCAUCAAAAUCCCUGUAAAGAAGCAUAGUCUGCUAACCGAGGCCAACUCUGAGCUCAGGAAUCCCCAGCAAAGACCGCCCCUCGAUGCAGCAUCAUCAAACAGCGCUGACGCGAGCGUCUCGGGGAGACCUCAGGUGCAGGAGUUCACCAAUUACCUUAAAGAAGUAGACAAUGACAUUGAGCGUCUGAUCCAAAGCACAGACCCCUCAGAAGAGGUAUUUCCGGGUGAUUCCAGGGUAUCCAGACGAUGGGGAUGGAGAAGCCAGCGCUUGCGCAGCUAUGGUGCGGACUGGGGGAUCCAGUGGUGGAACGCUGUAGUUGCCAUGUUACUCAUUGGCAUUGUUCUACCAAUAUUCUAUGUGGUAUAUUUUAAAACUCAAGAGAGUGGUGAAUCUGUAGUGGACAAUGGAGUGGUCAACAUAUCUCUGCCUACCUCAAACAGUACAAGGGUGAGCGUCAGCUCAGUGAACCCUGGGAAUAUAAUGGGAAACCAUCUUGAGAAAAAGCAAGUAUAAACUUUGUGUAGCCUUAUCAUUUGGUUUGAUGCCUAUAAUUUUCUUUGGUACUUGGUGCAGAUAAACUUAGUAUUACAAGUAGAUUACAUCUACAAGUCUUUUUAGACACAAAUAUUAUGGUAGAUUCGCUUAGUGAAUUGAUGAGCCAUAAUAAAAAGGUAAGUUUUGGGUUCAAAAGACUGAUAUUGCACACUGUCCCAAUGUAUUUUGCAUGCAACAUUAAGGUAAUCAAAUGAUUUUCUUUUUUGGCGAACUGUCCCUUUAAUUACUUUGCAUGAAGGUACAUUUAAAGAGAAAAUGUAACAGAUGAGAUUGCAAACUAACUGUUAGUCUGCUUACACUCUACACGUUGAAAUGGUUGUUAUUGGUUUCAUUGGUGCUUUUAUUUAAAUUAAUUAUGAAAUCGUAAUAACAGUUUUUCUUUGUGGAGAAAGAAAAGAGCAAAAACCUUUAAAAGUCAUUAUGAAACAUAUCAUAGCUUUGCUCAUAAAAUUGAUCAUAUUUGAUCAAAUUUGUAUCUAUUUUUUGUUUUGUUUUUUGUUUUAAUUCUAUAUUUUAGAUAUGGAAAGACACUAUAGUGCCAGCAGUGCCAAAGAAUGGAUGUGUAUAUUUAGUAACUGUUUGUUCAGUCAUUAGAAGUGCAAUACAAAUAAGAGCUAACCUCAUGGGCAGAUGGACAUAUUUUGACCUUUGACCUUGCAACAUUAAAACAUUUUAAUCUGA